CCUACGGGCGGCAGCAGUGGGGAAUAUUGCACAAUGGGGGAAACCCUGAUGCAGCGACGCCGCGUGAGUGAAGAAGUAUCUCGGUACGUAAAGCUCUAUCAGCAGGGAAGAAAAUGACGGUACCUGACUAAGAAGCCCCGGCUAACUACGUGCCAGCAGCCGCGGUAAUACGUAGGGGGCAAGCGUUAUCCGGAUUUACUGGGUGUAAAGGGAGUGUAGACGGCAGCAGAAGUCUGGAGUGAAAUCCCGGGGCUUAACCCCGGAACUGCUUUGGAAACUGUGAGGCUGGAGUGCUGGAGAGGAAAGUGGAAUGUCUAGUGUAGCGGUGAAAUGCGUAGAUAUUAGGAGGAACACCAGUGGCGAAGGCGACUUUCUGGACAGUAACUGACGUUGAGGCACGAAAGUGUGGGGAGCAAACAGGAUUAGAUACCCUAGUAGUC
This 440-nucleotide ribosomal RNA is filed under the name uncultured bacterium. RNAcentral describes it as "partial 16S ribosomal RNA". It matches the Rfam family "Bacterial small subunit ribosomal RNA", at positions 338 to 795 of the family's 1533-position model. The record is from RNAcentral.